GAUGAACGCUGGCGGCGUGCCUAAUACAUGCAAGUCGAGCGAACGGACGAGAAGCUUGCUUCUCUGAUGUUAGCGGCGGACGGGUGAGUAACACGUGGAUAACCUACCUAUAAGACUGGGAUAACUUCGGGAAACCGGAGCUAAUACCGGAUGACAUUUUGAACCGCAUGGUUCAAAAGUGAAAGACGGUCUUGCUGUCACUUAUAGAUGGAUCCGCGCUGCAUUAGCUAGUUGGUAAUGUAACGGCUUACCAAGGCAACGAUGCAUAGCCGACCUGAGAGGGUGAUCGGCCACACUGGAACUGAGACACGGUCCAGACUCCUACGGGAGGCAGCAGUAGGGAAUCUUCCGCAAUGGGCGAAAGCCUGACGGAGCAACGCCGCGUGAGUGAUGAAGGUCUUCGGAUCGUAAAACUCUGUUAUUAGGGAAGAACAUAUGUGUAAGUAACUGUGCACAUCUUGACGGUACCUAAUCAGAAAGCCACGGCUAACUACGUG
This 497-nucleotide ribosomal RNA is filed under the name uncultured bacterium. Its description in RNAcentral is "partial 16S ribosomal RNA". It matches the Rfam family "Bacterial small subunit ribosomal RNA", at positions 28 to 507 of the family's 1533-position model. The record is from RNAcentral.